GCAGCCAGUCUGAGAUCUCGUCUUUUCUCUCACCACGCGUGUGCGAUCAAGCGCGCCAGUGCUAAAGGCUAGCGAGCGAAAUCGCGGGGAGAGGACAUUUUUCAGUCUUUUAAAGACUUAAUUGACAAAACCCAGCUCCCAGUGUGCAAAUUGAUAUCAGUCAAUGGUUGAGCAGCACAAAUGGAUUCAUUGCCAAGUGCAGGGAAGACAACGUGUUCCCUGACUUCCUUAACUACCACUGCAUAAUACACCAACAAGCCUUAUGUGCAAGAAUGCUAAACGUGAAAGAGAUCAUGGAUGUGGCAACAAAGAUCGCCUGUUCUAUACGUGCUAGUUCACUUCAAAGACGGCUGUUCCGUGCACAUCUGGAGAAGGCAGACUGCGACCAAUCAGCUCCUGCUACACACUGACGUCAGAUGGCUUAGUAGGGGUAAAUUCCUGCAGAGAUUUCGAGAGCUCUGUCUGGAGAUAAGCAAGUUUCUUUUUGCUGUUAAACAUGCAGAAUACACCCAGGUCAAUGAUGAUCAGUGGCUGCUGGACUUUUUUUAACCGAGCAUUUUUAACCGAUCUGACCAACUUAAUUUGGAGCUGCAAGGAAAAGACAAAAAUUAACGGCAGUCAGUGCCUUUAAACGGAAAAUGCAACUUCUGUUUUCAAAGCUGCAGCGCCAUGUUUUUGGGAACUUCCAAAACCUCGCGUCAGAUCUGGAGACGCAGCGGAAGGCUUGUGCGCAGUUUAACAUUGCACGCUACACGGAGCAGAUUGACAGCUGUCGGUCAGAGUUUGACAGACGCUUCAAGACUUUGCUUUACUGGAGCCAUUUGCCACAUUCAUGUGCUACCCGUUUAGGGACAAUGUUGAGGUUGAUUCACUCGCAUCGAAAAUUGCAGCGCUGUUCACCUGAACUCGUCUGAAGUGGAGGAUGAGAUUUUGAAACUACAGACUGACAUUCAGCUGAAGUCCAGGGCUCAUGGACAGUUCUGGAACUUACUCACAGGGGAAAAUUACCCAAACAUGAGGAAAUGUGCCACCUCCUAACUGCAUUAUUUGGCUCUACUUAUUUAUGUGAGUCAGCCUUUUCCCUCAUGAAGAUCAUUAAGUCCAAAUACCGUUCCACAAUGACUGAUCAUCAUUUGGAGGCCUGCUUGAGGCUGGCUACCAGCAGCUACUGUCCGGACUAUGCAGCCCUGGCUGAUUCUAUUCAGUGCACGUCAUCAGAGUAAGGUGGCGAUUGCAGGCGCAUUUUAUCCGAACUGCUUCCUCCAGGGAACUGUGGACGAGGAGCUCGCCUCCAAGGAGCUCUAUGGAAACGACCCCAGGACCACCGUAGUGGUGUGUAAUCUCCCUCCAUUUGCAUUCCUCUACCAUAAACAGCUCCAGUCUCUCUUCAGACACUGUGGUUAAGUCAAAUCCAUCUCCUUUGACAGCUCCAGGGCCUAUGUAGAGUUCUACCGCUCGUCAAUGAGAGGUUCUGGCGUUCUCCCAGAGGUCUCUCUGUCUCUCCUCCUCGCUCAGCAGAGACUUCCUCUCCAUCUCAACGUUUAACCCGCUGGAGAGGUGGAGACUUGGGCAGGGGGGUAGUGUAUCUCACACUUCAGAUAUACACGGUUGAAUGUGGAUAUUCAGAAUCAGUCAGUGAGCCCUGUCGGGGUUCUGAGCAGCUCCAUUGAGCUGGAGAAUCUUCCGUCUAACCCUGUCUUUAUCGUCAAUAUCACCGAGUGGGGCAUUUCUGGGGUUUCCAGGCUCACGAGGCAAGUCUGGAGAAACAGAGGUGGCUGACAGUGGCCGUUAAUACACGGGCGCUCUGCCCACUUCCUGUCUCACUUUAUCCAAAUCUUCUGUGUCUCGCCCCUUUCUCUGAAACUCACACCAAACCUGGGAACUACUACAGAGCCAAAAUACUGCAUGUCAUGGGGAGUAAUGUGGAGGUAACAUCUGUACACGCACACGCACACGCAC
Molecule: long non-coding RNA, 1959 nt
Organism: Ictalurus punctatus (channel catfish)
Lineage: Eukaryota; Metazoa; Chordata; Actinopteri; Siluriformes; Ictaluridae
Exons: 6
Source: RefSeq, a predicted model, not a curated record